This 497-nucleotide ribosomal RNA is filed under the name uncultured bacterium. Its description in RNAcentral is "partial 16S ribosomal RNA". It matches the Rfam family "Bacterial small subunit ribosomal RNA", at positions 28 to 507 of the family's 1533-position model. The record is from RNAcentral.
GAUGAACGCUGGCGGCGUGCCUAAUACAUGCAAGUCGAGCGAACAGACGAGGAGCUUGCUCCUCUGACGUUAGCGGCGGACGGGUGAGUAACACGUGGAUAACCUACCUAUAAGACUGGGAUAACUUCGGGAAACCGGAGCUAAUACCGGAUAAUAUAUUGAACCGCAUGGUUCAAUAGUGAAAGACGGUUUUGCUGUCACUUAUAGAUGGAUCCGCGCCGCAUUAGCUAGUUGGUAAGGUAACGGCUUACCAAGGCAACGAUGCGUAGCCGACCUGAGAGGAUGAUCGGCCACACUGGAACUGAGACACGGUCCAGACUCCUACGGGAGGCAGCAGUAGGGAAUCUUCCGCAAUGGGCGAAAGCCUGACGCAGCAACGCCGCGUGAGUGAUGAAGGUCUUCGGAUCGUAAAACUCUGUUAUUAGGGAAGAACAAAUGUGUAAGUAUCUAUGGACGUCUUGACGGUACCUAAUCAGAAAGCAACGGCUAACUACGUG